UCCUCCUCGGUUGCCUCAUUGGGCAUGCGCCUUUACUUUUUCUUACUGAAAACAACCAAACUGCACAGAAUUCCAGUAGACUAAAACUGAUAUUUCUGGUUCCUUCGUAUUGAAAGAUUGUCAGGUUAUGGUUUUUCUAAACAGCCAAUCCCUGAUAUUGCACCGAGUUAUCAAUUGGAGAGCAGCUUUCACUGAUGUGAAUGGAUAAUCUCUCUGGCACCACUAUGAUGGGUGAGGGUAGAAGAGUCCUAUUCGCCUGUUUGUGAGUUAACAUACAGUCGCAGGGGACAGAGCCUCAUCCAGCUUCAUACUAGUUAUGGUCAGCUGGAGGGCAGACUGGUCAGAGUGAGAGAGAGAGCCAGAGGAAGAUGGCUGCCUACCUGGGGAUCCCCUGAGCCCCCUUGUCGGGCCGCUGAAGUUCCAGGCCCCCCAGCCUCCCCGGGUGUGGCAGGGACUGAGAGACGCCAAGGCUUACCCCCCUCUGUAUGAGCCUAAGCAGUAAUGUCUCAGAGAGACAGGCAGGGAGACAAACAGCCUAUACUGUUUAAUGGGGAACUCUGAAUCAUGCGUAUUUUGAUUAACAUUCUGCCAUUCAUCUUUGUAUUGAUAGUGUAAGAAAAUGUAACCUUUCUUGUCCUCCUAACACAUAGGUGUCUGCAGAACAUGAACCACACUAGACAGAUGGGUGACCUGUACGGAGGUCGGUUCCCUGUCCUAACCACCUCAGAGGACUCCCUUUACCUGAAUAUCUACACACCAGUCAAACCUGGGGACCCAAGGAAACUACCAGUGAGGAGAGACAUGAGAAUGUACUCAUAUCUACCUUAAGAGUAGACAAACAUGUCUUUGGUUUGGUGGUCCUCAAGGGAGGGGCUUCACUCUGUGAUGGCUCCUCACUGGCUGCCUUUCGGGACGUUGUGGUGGUCAUUUUCCAAUACUGUUUGGGUAUACCAGGGUUCCUCAGGUACACUUCCAUAUGUACUACAUUUGGUCAAUAUGAUCAAUGCACAAAUUCAGGUCAGUAAUAUCUUCUCCUGUUUGGUGUCUACUGAACACAACCCUGGCAUAUCUGAUCUAAUAUCUGUGUGACCAGCACUGGAGAUGGCCAGUACCCCGGAACGUGGGUGUUCUGGACCAGGUGUGUGCCCUGCGCUGGGUGCAUGAGACCAUCAGCAGUUUCAGGGGAGACCUAGGAUCUGUCACCAUUUUUAGAGAGUCUGCUGGUGGUGUUGCUGUCUUUUUUUGCGUGUGUGUACUGUGCAUCUAGGAAAACAGAUAUUUGCUGAUACAGAAAGAUGCACUGGCUAUCUGUAUGUAGGCUUACUUUGGGCACUGAUCCAUGGUUCUGUCUGUCAUCAGAACUGUUCCACAAGGCAAUCAGUCAGAGUGGAGAACCCCUCGUCUCUAUGUUCGUCCAGGUCUCAAGGAUCCCAUACAUUGUUUCAUAUACAAUAUCAGAACUGCUGGUGGCACAGAGAGCAGGCUGUCUCAGUGAUGACUCUGCAGAGCUCAUGACCUGCCUCAGUGCCCUCAGCCCACAGGACAGAGAGGUGGCUACACCUGCACUGGGAUAGGACAGUCAUCCCUACCAACCCGGAGGAAGUCCUUCAGACCAAGAGCUUCUUGGGCUUCCCCAGCAUCCUAGGGAUCAACAACCAUGAGUAUGGCUGGAUGCUCCCAC
This is a long non-coding RNA of Oncorhynchus keta (chum salmon), 1681 nucleotides long. RefSeq lists it as uncharacterized. NCBI's taxonomy places the organism in Eukaryota, Metazoa, Chordata, Actinopteri, Salmoniformes, Salmonidae. The transcript is spliced from 5 exons. The record is from RefSeq and is a predicted model, not a curated record.